AAAGACUGUAAAAUUACACUAUACAACUCCUGAAUGCAACUCAGACACUUUAAUUAAGCUAAGGCCUC
RNAcentral lists this transfer RNA (68 nucleotides) under Phelsuma ornata (ornate day gecko). Its description in RNAcentral is "tRNA-Ala". The record is from RNAcentral. Lineage: Eukaryota; Metazoa; Chordata; Lepidosauria; Squamata; Gekkonidae.